GCGGGAGUAGUUUAGUGGUAGAACGGUUCCUUCCCAAGGAACAGGUGGGAGUUCGAUUCUCCUCUCUCGCU
This 71-nucleotide transfer RNA is filed under the name bacterium. RNAcentral describes it as "tRNA-Gly". It matches the Rfam family "tRNA". Rfam says of the family: Transfer RNA (tRNA) molecules are approximately 80 nucleotides in length. The record is from RNAcentral.